GUUCAUUAAAUACUUGUUACAUAAGAGUACUAUUUUGGGUUUUGGGUAUAUCAAGAAACAUAGGACAAGAUCCUUGACUUGAAGGAGCUGAGUCUUAAGUAGAGAGCAAGCAUCUCAACUUCUCAAAGGUAACUAGUAUUAUAACACAACGUGCAUUCAAUGCCAAAUGAGUCACACAGACAAGUGCUAUCAUAAGAAUUCCGUCAUAGCAAGAUAGGGGAAUGAGAGCUUCUCAUUGAAAAUGGAGGAACGGAACUGGGUCUUGUUAAUUCUUGGUCAUUUCAAGAUCCUUCCACCUGGGACGUUCUUUCCUUAGACUGCAUGUUUCACUCUCACUCUCUUCUUUCAGUUCUUUGCUCAAAUGUCACCUCAGAGUAGCUCUCCGUGACUGAAAUGAUGAAAACAAUCCUCUUCCCCACCACAGAGACUGUUUUCCCCUUGUUAUCUGAAAUUUAGUUAUUUACUUGUUUAUUGUCUUUCUCACAAUUCAUGAGAGCAGGAAGCUUGUCUCUGUUGUUCACCAUUGUCUAUCCAUUGCCUAAAACAUUAUCUGGCACAAAGUAGGUAUUCAAUAAAUAUUUGUUGGGUAAUGGGCCUUGUGAACCAAGAGGAACUUAGAUGAGAAGACAGAGUGGCCAUUCUACGCAAGGACGAUGGUCUGAAACACACAUGGCCUUAGAGAGUUCUUUUGAGUCAUGGUCUACAGACAGCUUUCUACUCUCUAUGUGAAAAUUUCAGUAAUACCUAGGAUGCUGAUAAUAUCACUGAUGAUCAGUGCAAGUGAUAGGGCUUGCCUCUAUAAUAAUAACCCCUGGCCAGUUUGGAGACAGUGAGCCUUCUGGAUCUGCCAGUUUUUCCUGAGCUCACAGAAGAAAGCUUGUCAAAGAAGACUUGAUUGGAUCUCUAGAAAUAAAAUUUUACAAGGCAUAAGACAAAUAAAAGUGUUGAGGAGACUUCCAAGCCAACUGGCUUAUUUUUCAGGAUUUCCAUAAACAAAAAAGAAAGGCUGAAAAUUAUGAUGAAGGAUGAAAAUGAAACCAAGGUCUAGUUUAUUAAGGUUGAUGAAAACUUUUUUUUCAAAACUAUAUUUUGAUACUGAUUUACUCAGAUUUCUCCCCAGCUACUGUUUGACAAGUAGUUAUCUGCCAGUCUUCUCUUCCCCACCAGGCCUGAGUGGACAAGAUCCCACAAAACUGCCAAAAAGCCACUGAAGGAAUUACAAAUCUGUAUGCUCUUCAUUCAUUGUCAUCUUUAACACUGCCCAGUCUAUGCCGUGACCUCAUCCCUGGCCUAGUCCGUUUGGGUAAUCUGCUUGUCUUCCCUGAAGAUUUGGAGGGAUUUUUCUUUCUGGAGCAUACAUGUUGGGCACUAAAUCCAUGACACUCAGCUGAAUGCUCCCUGCAGUACUUUGCUUCUUCUGUGUCCUCUUAAGUAGAAGCAGCUUAUCUUCUCAUCUCCAUCUAGUACAUGGCCAGGCUAUGAAAUUCUGGCAGGGUUGCCUGUUCUGAGCUCUGGAUGGGAUGUUUUCUCUGAGAGGAUUGUUUGGACCAGGGGAAGAGGAUGCCAUCUCUACCUACAGUGAUGAAGGAGAGAGAUGCAGACUGCUCUCAAUUCCUACUGAUUUAUCUGCCAUUACAAAAGAGAGAGAGAGGGAGAGAGAAAUAGAGUCAAGAGGAAUGAAAAAAAGGAAGAAAGAAGGAAGGAAGGAGGGAAGGAAGGAAUAAAGGAGGGAAGGAAGGAAGGAUAAAAUGAAAAGAAAAAAGAAAGGAGAACAAAGGAAAUGAAAUAAUAAGAAGAAAGAAAACAAAUGUUUUGUAUCCCCGGCUGAAGAAUUGCUUUCUUUUCACAUUGUGUUGGAGAUCUUAUGCAAUCCUAAGACUGUAACCACUGCCACUACUCUGAUCAUUCCCAAAUUUCCAUUACCAACCUGUCAAGGCCUGUGAAAAGUUUGAGAGUUCACCCCACUUGCAAGCUAACAAGUUAGCCUGUCACAGUUUCACAGAUGCUGUCAAAAGACACAAGACUCUUGGGUCGGAAACAAGUGACUUUAUUACUCAAAACACAGCAAGGUGAGUAAGCUUCAUAUUCAUGCCAGUUCCCUUUUCCCACUCAAGUCCAGUGGGGGCACUGUGGGGAGGCCCAGUGGAUGCUGCACAUGCAGUGGGUUUGCAUCACAAUAGAGAAACCCUGAGCUUAGAAAACCCCAAACUUUUACAGUGGCCUACAAGCAAAGCUGUCCAACCUGUGCUCCAGAGGGAGACAUUAUCUUUGUUAUACUCUAAGUUAAGAAAACAUGCCCUGUACUCCAGAGUGAGAGGCUAUCUCUAUCUUCAAGGCUGUCCCCAGACAAACAUCCUUGAAAAGAUAUUGGGAGAACUAAAAGCUGUCAAUAGCUCUCCCUGAAAGAUGUGCAGAGAUGUUACAGACCCAUGGAGAAUGGUCUCUCAACACAGCCCAGCUCUCUUUUCUGAAUUCCAUACCCACAUAUACAACUUCCUACUGGACGUCACCACCACAAUGUCAUAAAGGCAUUUCAAACUCAGAUCACCAAGAGUCAACUUCUCCAUAACUCUACUGUUCCUUUUAGCUUCUAUUUUAGUGAAUAACAACUCAUUCAACCUAUUCUGAGAUCUGGGCUCGUCCAGAUGCCUAUCCUUCCUCAUCUCAUACCCCAACUCCACUCCUAGCUAAUCAGUCACCAAGUUCACUUGAUUCAGUCUCAUUCAUAUCUUUUAUAGCUGCCCACUCCCCUCCAUUCUCACAGUACUGUCUUAGGUCAGGCCCUUACCAUCUCUCCCCAGCUGUUAAAAUCCUAUUGGUAUCCUAUCAUUCCAGGCCGUUGUCCACACCCCCACCAAACAAAUCUUAGUGCUGUUGCCUAUGAAAUAAAAUGUAAAUUUCUAUGUCACACAAUGCUACUUGAAUUCAGGCCCCACCUGCCUCACUCUCCAUCCUUUUCUCUCUGCUAAUUGCAUUUAUUUGUUUGACUUUUGGACUCCUCCUACUAAAAUACAAACCCGUCAAUUUCACGGACUCUCAGUUAUUUGACUUUGAUUUUGCCAAAAACAUAGUGGGCACUGCAUACAUCUUUACUAGAUAAUUAUUUAUUGAGAAUCUAUUAUGUACAAAGUUGUAUAGUUGUAUGCUUUUUAUUUCCAGCGUUUGUGUAUUUCACUAACAUUUACAGAUGAAAUUUUAGACAGACUAAACACAAUUAUGGACCAACUAUUUUAUUAAAACUUUAAAACCUUUAAGGGAAGACACAUUUAUAUUUUAACACCUCCACUUGCCAAAGGGGCAUUCUAUAAAUAAUGUUUACUAGCCAACCAACUAUUUUUACUAGCAAACUGACACACAUUUAUAUGUGUGUAUAUAUAUACAUGCAUAGGUUUUGUUGCUGUUGUUUGAUUUAGAGCAGUGUUUCUCAACCUUGGCAUUAUUCGCAUAUCCUUGGCAGGAUAAUUCUUUGUUGUGGGGGCUGUUUUAUGUAUUGUAGGAUGUUUAGCAGCCUUUCUGCUUUCCACCCACCAGAUCCCAGUAGUACCCACCCCUAAGCCAGUUUUGACAGCCAAAAUUGUCUCCAGACAUUGCCAUAUGUCCUUAGGGGACAGAAAUGCCCCCAGCAUGAGAGUCACUGAUUUAGAGCCACUGCUUGGCACUUUUUAGCUCUCUAGAAAGAAUUCCAACAGAGUGGAGGCUAUGUACAAAUUUCUCUAAAACUGAUAUUUAAGAAUUAGUAGAAAAAUACAUUCCAGCCAGAAAAUAGUGUACUUUAGUAAAAAUGAGAUAAAAUGGUUCACAGAAUAUGCAUAUUAAUGAAUGAGAUAUUUACUAUGUAGAACAAAACAAGUGAAGAGUAUGAUGCUCCCCAAACCGUGUAGUGGGGGACCACAUGAACCGUAUUAACCAUAUGACUGACUGUCUUUCUCAAGCCCAUAAAAGAGAUUUAUACCUUCUCCCCUUUUGUAGAAUAAUCUAGCUAUAUAUCUAAAGUGGUUUUUUUAUUUAGAAGAUUGUUUUUCUUGGCUAUUAAAAUUCUUAUGGCAUUUUUAUUGCCAUAGUCAAUGUUUAUUUAUUGUAAUGCUAAUAAAUGUUUGUGAGUUUGGUUGAUCUUUUCCAGUAGGAUGGUUCAAGAAUGAUUUUAACAAUUGAAGUUUGCAAAAGGAUUGUCAUCAUAUACCUUCUCCCCUUUUGUAGAAUAAUCUAGCUAUAUAUCUAAAGUGGUUUUUUUAUUUAGAAGAUUGUUUUUCUUGGCUAUCAAAAUUCUUAUGGCAUUUUUAUUGCCAUAGUCAAUGUUUAUUUAUUGUAAUGCUAAUAAAUGUUUGUGAGUUUGGUUGAUCUUUUCCAGUAGGAUGGUUCAAGAAUGAUUUUAACAAUUGAAGUUUGCAAAAGGAUUGUCAUCAUAUUGUCUAAUUUUUCUUGGUAUUUUGAAUAAACGUCUUUAAAAUUGCUGAGAUAUUAUGCUCUAGAAAAUGACUUGAGUGUUCUGCAAUAACAGCUUUUCAUUUGGGUUAUGAGUCUUAAUAUUCACUUACAACAUCAACUCUAGUAGUUUCAAAUA
Long non-coding RNA from Equus caballus (horse), 4561 nucleotides. RefSeq lists it as uncharacterized. The record is from RefSeq and is a predicted model, not a curated record. Lineage: Eukaryota; Metazoa; Chordata; Mammalia; Perissodactyla; Equidae.